This 557-nucleotide ribosomal RNA is filed under the name uncultured bacterium. RNAcentral's name for it is "bacterial SSU rRNA". It matches the Rfam family "Bacterial small subunit ribosomal RNA", at positions 102 to 694 of the family's 1533-position model. The record is from RNAcentral.
ACGGGUGAGUAACGCGUGGGAAUCUACCCAUCUCUAUGGAAUAACUCAGGGAAACUUGUGCUAAUACCGUAUACGCCCUUCGGGGGAAAGAUUUAUCGGAGAUGGAUGAGCCCGCGUUGGAUUAGCUAGUUGGUGGGGUAAUGGCCUACCAAGGCGACGAUCCAUAGCUGGUCUGAGAGGAUGAUCAGCCACACUGGGACUGAGACACGGCCCAGACUCCUACGGGAGGCAGCAGUGGGGAAUAUUGGACAAUGGGCGCAAGCCUGAUCCAGCCAUGCCGCGUGAGUGAUGAAGGCCCUAGGGUUGUAAAGCUCUUUCAACGGUGAAGAUAAUGACGGUAACCGUAGAAGAAGCCCCGGCUAACUUCGUGCCAGCAGCCGCGGUAAUACGAAGGGGGCUAGCGUUGUUCGGAUUUACUGGGCGUAAAGCGCACGUAGGCGGAUAUUUAAGUUAGGGGUGAAAUCCCAGAGCUCAACUCUGGAACUGCCUCUAAUACUGGGUAUCUAGAGUUCGAGAGAGGUGAGUGGAAUUCCGAGUGUAGAGGUGAAAUUCGUAGA